GGGUCAUUAGCUUAAUGGUAGAGCCAUCGGCUGCAACCCGGUAGGAGCGCGUUCGAUUCCCGCAUGACCCU
This 71-nucleotide transfer RNA is filed under the name Ecytonucleospora hepatopenaei. RNAcentral's name for it is "Enterocytozoon sp. ST-2009a tRNA". It matches the Rfam family "tRNA". From Rfam's summary of the family: Transfer RNA (tRNA) molecules are approximately 80 nucleotides in length. Their secondary structure includes four short double-helical elements and three loops (D, anti-codon, and T loops). Further hydrogen bonds mediate the characteristic L-shaped molecular structure. tRNAs have two regions of fundamental functional importance: the anti-codon, which is responsible for specific mRNA codon recognition, and the 3' end, to which the tRNAs corresponding amino acid is attached (by aminoacyl-tRNA synthetases). tRNAs cope with the degeneracy of the genetic code in two manners: having more than one tRNA (with a specific anti-codon) for a particular amino acid; and 'wobble' base-pairing, i.e. permitting non-standard base-pairing at the 3rd anti-codon position. The record is from Rfam by way of RNAcentral. Lineage: Eukaryota; Fungi; Microsporidia; Enterocytozoonidae.